GAGGUGUUAGUAAAACAAUAACAUAGCCUUGUCAAGGCUAAGUUACAGGUGAAAGGCCUGUACACCUCA
Molecule: transfer RNA, 69 nt
Filed under: Chloropsis cyanopogon
Lineage: Eukaryota; Metazoa; Chordata; Aves; Passeriformes; Irenidae
Description: tRNA-Asp
Rfam family: tRNA
About the family: Transfer RNA (tRNA) molecules are approximately 80 nucleotides in length.
Source: RNAcentral